Molecule: ribosomal RNA, 492 nt
Filed under: uncultured bacterium
Lineage: Bacteria
Description: partial 16S ribosomal RNA
Rfam family: Bacterial small subunit ribosomal RNA
Source: RNAcentral
AGUGAACGCUGGCGGUAGGCCUAACACAUGCAAGUCGAACGGCAGCACAGUAAGAGCUUGCUCUUACGGGUGGCGAGUGGCGGACGGGUGAGGAGUACAUCGGAAUCUACUUUUUCGUGGGGGAUAACGUAGGGAAACUUACGCUAAUACCGCAUACGACCUACGGGUGAAAGCAGGGGAUCUUCGGACCUUGCGCGAUUGAAUGAGCCGAUGUCGGAUUAGCUAGUUGGCGGGGUAAAGGCCCACCAAGGCGACGACCCGUAGCUGGUCUGAGAGGAUGAUCAGCCACACUGGAACUGAGACACGGUCCAGACUCCUACGGGAGGCAGCAGUGGGGAAUAUUGGACAAUGGGCGCAAGCCUGAUCCAGCCAUACCGCGUGGGUGAAGAAGGCCUUCGGGUUGUAAAGCCCUUUUGUUGGGAAAGAAAAGCAGCAGGUUAAUACCCCGCUGUUCUGACGGUACCCAAAGAAUAAGCACCGGCUAACUUCGUG